UGUCAUUUCCUGAGCCACAGGGGUUUUAGGAGCAUCUUUCAUUCUAGUGUUUGGUCUUUGACCCCGGUUCCCAACAAACAGCUCCUACUCCCUUGGAAUUUAUUGGGUGAUGGGAGUGUCUUGUUCUAAUGAAGCAACUCUAAUGGGCUCCUGGACGGGGCUGGUCACCAGAAAGACCAGGUUAUGCUGAGAAGCUUGAAACCGUCAGUCCCCCGCCACCCCAUCCUCUGGGAAGGGAAGAGGAGCUGGAGAUCAUGCCCAUGUGAUGAGGCCUCCGUCAAAGUCCUUGCACUCCGGGAUGUGGCUGCCGGACAUGCGGAGGCGCUGGGAGAGCGGCACACCUGGAGAGGGCGUGGAAGCUCCAACACCCCACCUCCACACCGCGUGCUAUGCAUCUCUCCCGUCCAGCUGCUCCUGGGUUUCAGUCUUUCCUAAUGAACAGACGGAGCUUCCCUAUGUUGUCCAGCCUGGUCUUGAACUCCUGGCCUCAAGCAAUCCUCCUGCCUUGGCUUCCUAAAGACACAGAAAGGAGUGACCUCUCCAACCUUCCAUAAAUCAUCAGAACACUGCAGAGUGACAGUGGGAACUCCAGAGAUUAAACACGGAGGUGAGGCUGGCCAGGGAUCACAAGAGGCCCAACACCCAGACAGUACGGAACCUGGGUGGGCACCUCGUCCGUUUUGUCAUCCACAGACCAGAGCUCACUGCUUUCCAGAUCUCAAGAACAAAGCCCAAACCAUGGAAAUAAACACGCUGUUAUCAGUGUAGAAGGAACACAGCCAGCGGCACCGCACGGCGCCCUCCAUCACCUCUGGGCUUCUGCACUUCUGAUGACUCCAUCCAGAUCUCCAGCUUGUCCUGUGGACCCAUCCAUGCAGAAGCAGACUCGGCAGGCACAAGGACCAUUUUCCACACCCCUAUGAUUGCACCUCAUCCAAUCAGCAGCACCCACUCCCUAGUCCCCAGCUCCCUCCAGAUUAUCCUUGAAAAACCCUAGCCUCUGAAUUUUGGGGGAGAUUGACUUAAGUAAUAAAAUUCCAGUCUCCCACUUAGCCAGCUCUGUGUGAACUAAACUCUUUCUCUAUUGCAAUUCCCAUCUUGAUGAGUCAACUGAGGUAAAGAGCAACCUGGCUGAAGGUCAACAGCAGGGCUUUUUAAUCAGAUCCAUGCUGCCCCAAAAUAAUGAAACCCUGGAUCAGCUUCUUUUCCAAAUCUUGAGAAUACAGGCUCCUGGGCUGUGAAAUACAAUUUGAAAAUGUUUCUCUUCUAACAAAGAGUGCAAUGUCUUGAGUACUUUAACAUACUGUUUUCUGAAAUCUCACUGUUUGCUGGUAGGUAUCAAUGGCUUUGGUGUGGGGCGUCUGAUAUGUCUAUAUAAAGAAUCUCAUGCUGCCCCAGGAAAAAGCACAUAUAUCCAUAUUUUUGUUUGAUUUUGUAAAGCUUAUUGUACAAGAUCACAUUUUUGUUUUAAUAAAGAACAAAAAUGAAGUUUCA
This 1494-nucleotide long non-coding RNA is filed under the name Homo sapiens (human). RNAcentral describes it as "long non-coding RNA NONHSAT153095.1". Lineage: Eukaryota; Metazoa; Chordata; Mammalia; Primates; Hominidae. The record is from RNAcentral.